Molecule: ribosomal RNA, 492 nt
Filed under: uncultured bacterium
Lineage: Bacteria
Description: partial 16S ribosomal RNA
Rfam family: Bacterial small subunit ribosomal RNA
Source: RNAcentral
AGUGAACGCUGGCGGUAGGCCUAACACAUGCAAGUCGAACGGCAGCACAGUAAGAGCUUGCUCUUACGGGUGGCGAGUGGCGGACGGGUGAGGAAUACAUCGGAAUCUACUUUUUCGUGGGGGAUAACGUAGGGAAACUUACGCUAAUACCGCAUACGACCUACGGGUGAAAGCAGGGGAUCUUCGGACCUUGCGCGAUUGAAUGAGCCGAUGUCGGAUUAGCUAGUUGGCGGGGUAAAGGCCCACCAAGGCGACGAUCCGUAGCUGGUCUGAGAGGAUGAUCAGCCACACUGGAACUGAGAGACGGUCCAGACUCCUACGGGAGGCAGCAGUGGGGAAUAUUGGACAAAGGGCGCAAGCCUGAUCCAGCCAUACCGCGUGGGUGAAGAAGGCCUUCGGGUUGUAAAGCCCUUUUGUUGGGAAAGAAAAGCAGCAGGUUAAUACCCCGCUGUUCUGACGGUACCCAAAGAAUAAGCACCGGCUAACUUCGUG